Molecule: ribosomal RNA, 456 nt
Filed under: Neisseria sicca
Lineage: Bacteria; Pseudomonadati; Pseudomonadota; Betaproteobacteria; Neisseriales; Neisseriaceae
Description: bacterial SSU rRNA
Rfam family: Bacterial small subunit ribosomal RNA
Source: RNAcentral
AUUGAACGCUGGCGGCAUGCUUUACACAUGCAAGUCGGACGGCAGCACAGAGAAGCUUGCUUCUUGGGUGGCGAGUGGCGAACGGGUGAGUAACAUAUCGGAACGUACCGAGCAGUGGGGGAUAACUAAUCGAAAGAUUAGCUAAUACCGCAUAUCUUCUGAGGAAGAAAGCAGGGGACCAUUUGGCCUUGCGCUGUUUGAGCGGCCGAUAUCUGAUUAGCUAGUUGGUGGGGUAAAGGCCUACCAAGGCGACGAUCAGUAGCGGGUCUGAGAGGAUGAUCCGCCACACUGGGACUGAGACACGGCCCAGACUCCUACGGGAGGCAGCAGUGGGGAAUUUUGGACAAUGGGCGCAAGCCUGAUCCAGCCAUGCCGCGUGUCUGAAGAAGGCCUUCGGGUUGUAAAGGACUUUUGUCAGGGAAGAAAAGGGCGGGGUUAAUUCUCCCUGUCUGAAGA